This 2992-nucleotide long non-coding RNA is filed under the name Pomacea canaliculata. Its description in RNAcentral is "uncharacterized LOC112553809". Lineage: Eukaryota; Metazoa; Mollusca; Gastropoda; Architaenioglossa; Ampullariidae. The record is from RNAcentral.
GCUUUCAUUGGUCAGACACUCAUGACGUUGAGAAAGUAAUUAUAGUCAAGCACGAAACCACAAAGAAAGGAUCUCCCUUCAGCCGGACGGAAGGAGAACUUGAAAGUUAUCAAAAAACCCCAAACGACUAACAGGGACAAUCAAAGGGUGAGCACAGAGGAUACACACCACCUUCUACUUGCUAUGGGCAUGCCAAUUAUAAAUAAACCAGAAGCAAACCCUGUUUCUGCUGAUCAUGCUGAAGUCAGCAGCAGCACCAAAGUGACCGGUCAUGACAGUUCUCAAGAAGUGUCUUCCGCAACAAUGGUACAGAGUUCAUCAUCAACAGAAUCAGAUAACCACUCAGUUUUGUCAAGCUUGAAGCCAGCAGUUGGCGAACAGCCUGUUCCUGCACCAAAGCCUAUAUGCCGCCAGCCUAGUCUUGUUCGGCAACAAGAGCGACCAUGUAGUGCUCCACCAGAAUCAUUAGAGAAUUUCUCUCACUCAAUUUUGGGUGCAAUUCGAGAUGGAAAUAAUGAGAUAUCACAGGGUCAGUCAUGGCGAAUUAUUGCCGACCAUAUGACUUUUGAGACAGAUAUUCACCGUGCUUUAAGCACUAGUUAUCUAAGCGAGCUAGCGAAAUGCACAAAUGGUCGCAGAUGAUGGCAGUCAGCAUUAGAAAUUUAUCCUUGUACUGAAGUUACAGUUGCUUAACAAAGACCUUCCAGAACAUUUCUUGUGUGGGGAAAAACAAUGUACAAAUGACUGGAUAUUUGAAUAGAUAAGGCAUUCUGGGAAUCAUGUGUGCCAAAUCCUAAAGUGCAUACAUUUAAAAGCAUGCCUAACAGAAUGAUUUUGAUUUUAAGAAGAUUUUGUAGUUGUGACAGCUAUGCCGAAAGUUUCUAUGGGGAAGAACCAUAUUAGUCUUAUCUUUUAUUAAUUACUAACACCUGCCUAUCUAAGACUUAUUAGGAAGACUAACAAGUUAAAAAUUCUUCUUUUUGGUCCUAGUCGCCAACAGUGGAGCAUAGGGCCACAGACAAGUUAAAAUAGUGUGACUAUAUUUUCUAGGAUUCUCCAGCAGUAGAAAACUAGUAAAAAUCCCACAGGCAUUUAGAUUUUACGCAAUGGUGACAACUGGAAGCAGGUGGUCUAGUGGUGUUGUGAUUAAAUAUUUGUCUUCUUGAGAGGAUUAUGGGAAAUGUCCAACAGACAUUAUUUCUUGAAUAAUAUGACAUGUUUUUUGUCAUAGCUAUCGCCUUGGUAUUCUGGCCUUUUCCUUUCUUCCUUCCCAACUCCCAACAGAUAAGUUGCACUUGUUACUCUAGUCGCCAGAGUGUAAAAUCAUCACAAGGUGAAAGCAUUUUAAAACAAACCAAAUCAUCAUUAUCUAUUGAUAAGAGGUCAUGGAGAUGAAAAAUAGCUGCUGCUGUUUAAAGUUUUAAAGGAUUUUUUUAUGUUGGAACAAAUAGUAUACAUCUUGAAGUUUAGUGAGAUAUGUUUGGACAAAAAGUAGGCAGUCACUGUCAGUUUGGUUAGAUCUACAUUAUCCAUUAUUUUAAAUGAUGUUAUGUGAUAUGCAUUUAUUAUUCAUAUUUAUUUCUUGUUAAUUUGGCAUCUAAAGAUGAUUUUUUAAAUAAUUUUUCUUUAAAAAAAAUUAAAAGAUCCCUAUAAGGAAGUGAUGAUUCAUAUCAUUUAACUUGCAUUUAACUAUUUUAGGUAUUUUUAUUUUUUUAUGCUGAUGGAGUUUACCACAUCAUAUUUCAACAAAUUGCUUUUAAUUUUUUGUUUUCUGUUAUUAUUUGCUGGUCUUAUUUUUACAUAUAAAGUAAGUGAAUGAUUUAGCAAUAUUUGACUGUAGGGCAGUGUGAUAACACAGUGAUCACAGAUUAUAACUACACGAUCUUCCAUUUUGUUUCCUUUUUAUCUAUACAUGCUGAACUGUAAAAGCUCAGAUGAGCUGCUAAUGGAGGCAUCUUUUUGUUUUGUGCAUGGAAGGACAUUUUUGUGCUUGUAGCAAAUGGUCCUAGUGUAAAGUGGAAUGUGGUUUUUAAGAAUUGUUAAAUGCAUUUUUUUUUUCUGCAGUAAUUUGGCAAAAUGCUAUGCUGCUUGCAGUUGUGCCAAAUGUGCACAUUUGAGGCCCUUUUUUAAAGGAAAAAAAACCCACUAGUUGCAUAAAGUUUCGACGGAUGAUCAAAAAUAUAUCUUGAAUUCUAAACAAGAGUAGUUUUAUAGAAAUCUUUAUAAAAUAUUUACAUUGUUUGUUCAUGACACCUACGUACCCCACGUACAUGUACAUGCAUGAACGUACGUUGCACAUUGGUCAAUGAAAAGUAGGUACAUUUUGGGGGAUUAUAGUUUCUUUUUAUGAUUGUCCUUAAUAAAAUGGUGAAUUUUGUUAUUACAUGUACUAUCAAGAUCAAUCAUAAAUUAUCUGCUUUAAGGUAGGGUAUUAAAUUGUAAAUAAAGGCAUUGCUGUGAUAUAAAUAUAAGGUAAACUCUAUUUUAGGUUCCUUAUAUUGAACCAUGCAUAUCCUAAAUGCAAACAAUUGAUAAACGUAAGCAUGGUGUCUCUAGAAUCAUUUAAAGAGCAGCUGAAGAUUUAGGAUUCUGUUCCAAUUGUGUGUCAGAGGUCAGUGUCUAAUAGGGUUUUAAAUUCUUAUAAAAAUAUUGAGUGGUACAUUUUGGAAGGAAACUUUUUUUAUCAUGAAUACAAAUUUUGGAGACAAUAGAGAUAGUUUAUUGUUACAACUUUGGAUGAGAAAUUUUAAUAAAAGAUUGCCAGUUUAAUGGCUUGUACCCAACAAAAUUCAUAUAAAAUAUUUUAGCUUGUUUCUUUGCAUGAUGUAGACUAAGGGAGAUGAUGGUGUUCUGAUGGUGACUGUCGGGUACUGUUGCCAGUCUUCUACCAAGAUAACUGCCCUUUGUGACAAAAUAUUGCAUACUUGAUCCAUUUGCUGAGAUUCAUACAUUCAUUUUCAUGUGUAAAUAAAAUAUUUUCUGUAAAACUUAA